Molecule: ribosomal RNA, 468 nt
Filed under: uncultured bacterium
Lineage: Bacteria
Description: partial 16S ribosomal RNA
Rfam family: Bacterial small subunit ribosomal RNA
Source: RNAcentral
GACGAACGCUGGCGGCGUGCUUAACACAUGCAAGUCGAACGGAAAGGCCCUGCUUUUGUGGGGUGCUCGAGUGGCGAACGGGUGAGUAACACGUGAGUAACCUGCCCUUGACUUUGGGAUAACUUCAGGAAACUGGGGCUAAUACCGGAUAGGAGCUCCUGCUGCAUGGUGGGGGUUGGAAAGUUUCGGCGGUUGGGGAUGGACUCGCGGCUUAUCAGCUUGUUGGUGGGGUAGUGGCUUACCAAGGCUUUGACGGGUAGCCGGCCUGGGAGGGUGACCGGCCACAUUGGGACUGAGAUGCGGCCCAGACUCCUACGCGAGGCAGCAGUGGGGAAUAUUGCACAAUGGGCGGAAGCCUGAUGCAGCAACGCCGCGUGCGGGAUGACGGCCUUCGGGUUGUAAACCGCUUUCGCCUGUGACGAAGCGUGAGUGACGGUAAUGGGUAAAGAAGCACCGGCUAACUACGUG